Molecule: ribosomal RNA, 450 nt
Filed under: uncultured soil bacterium
Lineage: Bacteria
Description: bacterial SSU rRNA
Rfam family: Bacterial small subunit ribosomal RNA
Source: RNAcentral
AGAGUGAACGCUGGCGGCAGGCCUAACACAUGCAAGUCGAACGGCAGCACAGAGGAGCUUGCUCCUUGGGUGGCGAGUGGCGGACGGGUGAGGAAUACAUCGGAAUCUGCCUAUUUGUGGGGGAUAACGUAGGGAAACUUACGCUAAUACCGCAUACGACCUACGGGUGAAAGCGGAGGACCUUCGGGCUUCGCGCAGAUAGAUGAGCCGAUGUCGGAUUAGCUAGUUGGCGGGGUAAAGGCCCGACCAAGGCGACGAUCCGUAGCUGGUCUGAGAGGAUGAUCAGCCACACUGGAACUGAGACACGGUCCAGACUCCGUACGGGAGGCAGCAGUGGGGAAUAGUUGGACAAGUGGGCGACAAGCCUGAUCCAGCCAUGCCGCGUGUGUGAAGAGGCCUUGGUGUAAGCUACUUUAGUACGGAAAGAAAGUCGUUACGGUUAACUACCGG